UGAACGCUGGCGGCGUGCCUAAUACAUGCAAGUCGAGCGAACAGACGAGGAGCUUGCUCCUCUGACGUUAGCGGCGGACGGGUGAGUAACACGUGGAUAACCUACCUAUAAGACUGGGAUAACUUCGGGAAACCGGAGCUAAUACCGGAUAAUAUAUUGAACCGCAUGGUUCAAUAGUGAAAGACGGUUCUGCUGUCACUUAUAGAUGGAUCCGCGCCGCAUUAGCUAGUUGGUAAGGUAACGGCUUACCAAGGCAACGAUGCGUAGCCGACCUGAGAGGGUGAUCGGCCACACUGGAACUGAGACACGGUCCAGACUCCUACGGGAGGCAGCAGUAGGGAAUCUUCCGCAAUGGGCGAAAGCCUGACGGAGCAACGCCGCGUGAGUGAUGAAGGUCUUCGGAUCGUAAAACUCUGUUAUUAGGGAAGAACAAAUGUGUAAGUAACUAUGCACGUCUUGACGGUACCUAAUCAGAAAGCCACGGCUAACUACGUG
This 495-nucleotide ribosomal RNA is filed under the name uncultured bacterium. RNAcentral describes it as "partial 16S ribosomal RNA". It matches the Rfam family "Bacterial small subunit ribosomal RNA", at positions 30 to 507 of the family's 1533-position model. The record is from RNAcentral.